This 288-nucleotide long non-coding RNA is filed under the name Oryza brachyantha (malo sina). RNAcentral's name for it is "long non-coding RNA (OBRA_LNC002825)". The record is from RNAcentral. Lineage: Eukaryota; Viridiplantae; Streptophyta; Magnoliopsida; Poales; Poaceae.
UACCUGCUCUCAGUCCAUACAUGAGCAGCACAGUAUCUCCCAUUAAGUGCUAAUUAAAGGACUCGCACACGUCAGAAGUAUACAUGUGCUGCUUAAACCCACUUUAUCUUGCUAGCUCUAUACCAGUGCUUGAAAUAGGCAUUUCUUUCAAGUUCAAAAGGUUGAAAAAGCCAUAUCUUCGCUAGGUGUUUAUGGAAUAAUUAUAGCAGGUUGGUCUAGUAAGACGGGGGGCGGCCUGGACACGUCUCGACUUUGUGCACGUAGCCACAUAUGUACAUGAAUCAGUAU